Gadus chalcogrammus (walleye pollock) is the source of this 1378-nucleotide long non-coding RNA. RefSeq lists it as uncharacterized. The transcript is spliced from 4 exons. The record is from RefSeq and is a predicted model, not a curated record. Lineage: Eukaryota; Metazoa; Chordata; Actinopteri; Gadiformes; Gadidae.
AGCCUAUAAAUUGUUUGUGCACACUUUGGCUCGCUUGGCACUCACCACCAGCACGCUCAUCCAUCCUGUGUGCGUCUCCAAUGAACCACACAAAGAUGAGUGAAAUUGAUGCAAGAUAAAGCAUCAAAUAAACCUGAAGAAUAAGAAAAUAAACCAAAUUGUGUUCCAUCAAACCCUGCCUCCUCCCUGCUCUUAUUCAUGACCCCUACCACUGUCUUCUGACCGAGACACUGCCUGCUCGCCAAACCUCACUCCACCCGAAUCCCUAUUUACAUCAACCUACCUACAGUUCCUACAGAAUGGAUCUAAAACGUUCUGUACUGGGCAUUAGGUACAAAAGCUGUGGAGAUUACACAGUGUGUGUGUGUGUGUGCAUGUGUGUGUGUCACUACACCUCCAAGUACAUUAUAAAAGGAGAGAGGACAGCGACCGAUGGCUCUCUAUGGCACAGAUCAUCUGGUCCUUGUGCUCGAUGCUCCACAAGGCUCCCUCUCUCCCGCUCUAGACUGAGGGAACAGUGAAGACUCCAGGAGCUCUGAAGAUUUUUGGAAUAUUCUGUGGUUUAUACGAGCUCUCGAGUGCUGCAAUGAGAGGGUGUGUGUUGCUGUUUGCGCUGAUGCUAGUUGUGAGACAUGGCCUGUGUAAAGACCAAGGACAGACCAGUAUCAACUCCUUGGACAUCAUGAAGCCGGAAAUCGACCCGUACUGGUACACGGGCCGGGGCAUUCGGCCCGUGGGACGCUUUGGACGCAGAGUGAAGGCCAGGAGGCCUCACAUUCACCUGGCGAGGAAGCCUCCCCUUCCCCCAUGCAAACUCAGACGCAGCCCGUCUGCAGCCUGCACACACCACUGGCUUUUCCAGUAACGAGGAGCCCUUUUUGUAAAUCUUUGUCUCUUCUUCGGUUUUAGUUCAUAUUUACUUGAAGCUGCUGCUGUAAGUUAAAGAGUUGCAAAUAGAGAGACUGCAUAAAGAUCCAAGAUUUUGAAAUAAACUAACACUGCUAACACUUCACUCCCUAUAUAACGUACCAUGUAGAUGACUACGCUAUUCACUAUAUGAAACACUAUAAAUACACACAUCUACAAUAUUUGACACAACUUAUAAUAAUGACCAAAUAGUGCUAAACUAUUGUGUUGUAACCAUUGUGAAAAGGUUUGCAAUGGUUUAUGGGAUGAGUAGUCCCUCACUCGUUCACAAAAAAUGAUCGGCAGUCUUGUACCUUUGUACGGAAGAGGAUUAGGGCCACACAUAAAAAACAAUUAAGUUCUGACUUUAAUGUGUGUUCAUUUUUUUUAUGUGUGGCCCCUAUCCUCUUCCGUGCCUUUGCCUUUUCUUCCAAAUAUUUUAUCAAAUAUAUUUGAUCAAAUAUCAAAUCAA